UUGGAUGAAAUUUAAAUCUUGUUUCGUUUCCGACAAAAACAGAAAAUCCGGUUUAUGUUUAUGCCAAAUUUCCCUUAGAUAACUAAUUGUCCAAUUACUUCCCGCACCUCUACAAUUCCAACUCAAUACUUUCAUAAAAAAUUCCAAAAAAUAAGCUCUCGGGAGCUAGUCAAACGGGAGUGAAGAGGCCCUAACUGUCCAUAAACCGAUAUGAAGAUACCAACGUAACUCGUGA
Molecule: long non-coding RNA, 235 nt
Filed under: Brassica rapa (field mustard)
Lineage: Eukaryota; Viridiplantae; Streptophyta; Magnoliopsida; Brassicales; Brassicaceae
Description: long non-coding RNA (BRAP_LNC005682)
Source: RNAcentral